GAUUGGAUUGAGCCUUGGUAUGGAAACCUGCUAAGUGGUAACUUCCAAAUUCAGAGAAACCCUGGAACUAAAAAUGGGCAAUCCUGAGCCAAAUCUUUGUUUUGAGAAAAAAUAAAAAAUGAGAAAAAGGGAUAGGUGCAGAGACUCAACGGAAGCUGUUCUAACGAAUGGAAUUUACUACGUUAGAUUAGUAGCUAAAAUCCUUCUUUCUAUCAAAAAAAAAAGAUCGAAAUGAAAGAAAGGAUGACCUUAUAUACCUAAUACAUACGUAUACAUACUGACAUAGCAAGCGAUUAAUCACAUUUCUUUCUAUUACUAUUAUCUUAUCUACUAUUAAGAUAUGAGUAUUAGUAUGAGUAUAAGAUAAGGAUAUAUAUAGAAACCCUCUAUUUCUAUUCUAUUAUUCUAUAUUAAUUAGAAUAAUAUACUAUGAAAAGUUUAAAUUCUAUCAAUUCUAAUUGAAGUUGAAAAAAGAAUCGAAUUCAAAUAUAAAGUUAUUAAGUAAUCAAAUGAUUCAUUCCAGAGUUUGAUAUAUUUUUUGAAGAUGAAUCGUACGAGAAUAAAGAGAGAGUCCCCUUUUACAUGUCAAUACCGACAACAAUGAAAUUUAUAGUAAGAGG
RNAcentral lists this precursor RNA (620 nucleotides) under Eltroplectris calcarata. Its description in RNAcentral is "transfer RNA-Ala". The stretch from base 1 to 229 matches the Rfam family "Group I catalytic intron". Lineage: Eukaryota; Viridiplantae; Streptophyta; Magnoliopsida; Asparagales; Orchidaceae. The record is from RNAcentral.